CGGCCGCUCGGCCCCGGCGUCUUCAAACUUGCCGCGCGCGGGGCGCCGCGGGCCGGGGUCGCCGGGCCCCUGAGGAUAACGGUCAGGGCUUGAUCUCCCUGAGACACCACGGUGGUCGGCAAGCGGACCGGGUAAAGAGUUCAGCGCUUUGUAUGAGAGAGAAAAAGAAAAAAAAACAACAACAACUAUUCCUCAACAGUCAAGACAAGGGCUUUUCAAAGUUAUUGCAUCUCAAAGGCUAUGGUGAUCAGUGCUGCUAUGAACUUGGCUAAGCAGAUUGCUUCAAAAUCCUGCCUUCAGUCCUUGGGACACGCUGAUGUCCUCAGGAGUAGGUUUACAAGGUCAUAUGGAGACUUGUCCUUUAAGAGUUUGGAAAUUGUUCAUCAAAGGGGUAAAGCAGGAGCAACGUGUACCUCAGAGUCACAGACUAAAAGAAAACAGUGAUGAGGGGCCUGUACUGUGGCACAGCAGGUUAACACCCUGGCCUGAAGGGCCGGCAUCCCAUAUGGGCGCCGGUUCGAGACCCAGCUGCUCCACUUCCGAUCCAGCUCUCUGCUAUGGCCUGGGAAAGCAGUAGAAGAUGGCCCAAGUCCUUGGGGAAUAAACCAUUGGAUGGAAGACCUCUCCCUUUCUCUGCCUCUCCUUUC
Lepus europaeus (European hare) is the source of this 647-nucleotide long non-coding RNA. RefSeq lists it as uncharacterized. The transcript is spliced from 4 exons. The record is from RefSeq and is a predicted model, not a curated record. NCBI's taxonomy places the organism in Eukaryota, Metazoa, Chordata, Mammalia, Lagomorpha, Leporidae.